This 241-nucleotide ribosomal RNA is filed under the name uncultured Blautia sp. RNAcentral describes it as "partial 16S ribosomal RNA". It matches the Rfam family "Bacterial small subunit ribosomal RNA", at positions 524 to 760 of the family's 1533-position model. The record is from RNAcentral. Lineage: Bacteria; Bacillati; Bacillota; Clostridia; Lachnospirales; Lachnospiraceae.
UACGUAGGGGGCAAGCGUUAUCCGGAUUUACUGGGUGUAAAGGGAGCGCAGACGGCCAAGCAAGUCUGAAGUGAAAUGCAUGGGCUCAACCCUAUGAAUUGCUUUGGAAACUGUUAGGCUUUGAGUCGUCGGAGAGGUAAGCGGAAUUCCUAGUGUAGCGGUGAAAUGCGUAGAUAUUANGGAGGAACACCGGAGGCGAAGCGGUCAUACUGGACGGCAACUGACGUUGAGGCUCGAAGGC